UUAACUUUGACCUGACCUGACCUGAGUUUUCAGGUCAUGACCUGAAAUAACCCGAAAUGACCUGAUGGCCUGAAAUUGAAUUUCCGAAAAAAUCGGCGUUUGCUAUAAUUCUCUUUUCAAUUGGCUCUUGAACAGUCUUACAUCCUACCGAGCUAAGAGGGUGAAUUUCCUUUCCUCAGUCGCAUGACUCGUGUUUCUUGUCCUUUCAAAAAAAUCAGUUUCUGUAGAACUUGACAAUUCGGCUGGAGCUGAUAUACUGACGCUGACUAGAUGUUCCAUCGAGCAAAAAAUCAUUCAAGCUUCGCUAUGUUCACCCUCAUAACUCAUUUUUACCCACAUAAUUGCCAUUACAAUGUAGAGACUUUUGAUUUUUGUCUGCGGUUUUGACGUUAACAUUUAUCAACGGACCGAUUAGAGUUAAGUGAUGAGAGUGCAAUUUCUGAAAUGUACUCUGAUAGUGAACAUGCACUUUAGAAUUAUAGGUUGGCACAUAGGUGGCUCCUGGUUCUGAGCCCACAAAUUAUGGCUCUGAAUAAGUUAUUUCGGUUCAAAACAAUUAUUUAACCUAAUCUGGUUAGCUGAUAAAACCUUUCAGUCCUAGAAGUUACUUAUUGACCCCAUAUAAAAUGUAAAAUAUGCGAAGUGUAGCUAAUGAUCCAAGUGAAGAUUGUACGACUCUCCGUACCUUUGGUUUUGUUUGUAAAGAAACUAUAAGCGUCCGCUAAGACAACAAAAACCUAGUAGCAGGCCUUAUCAGGAAUCAAUUGUUUUUUAGAUUUUAUAUUAACAAAACUAAUU
Molecule: long non-coding RNA, 798 nt
Organism: Bradysia coprophila
Lineage: Eukaryota; Metazoa; Arthropoda; Insecta; Diptera; Sciaridae
Source: RefSeq, a predicted model, not a curated record